AUUGAACGCUGGCGGCAUGCUUUACACAUGCAAGUCGAACGGUAACAGGCCGCAAGGUGCUGACGAGUGGCGAACGGGUGAGUAAUGCAUCGGAACGUGCCCAGUCGUGGGGGAUAACUAUCCGAAAGGAUAGCUAAUACCGCAUACGAUCUGCGGAUGAAAGCGGGGGACCUUCGGGCCUCGCGCGAUUGGAGCGGCCGAUGUCAGAGUAGGUAGUUGGUGGGGUAAAGGCUCACGAAGCCAACGAGCUGUAGCGGGUGUGAGAGGACGACCGGCCACACUGGGACUGGGACACGGCCCAGACUCCUACGGGAGUCAGCAGUGGGGAAUUUUGGACAGUGGGCGCAAGCCUGAUCCAGCAAUGCCGCGUGCAGGAAGAAGGCCUUCGGGUUGUAAACUGCUUUUGUACGGAACGAAACGGCUCUGGUUAAUACCUGGGGCUAAUGACGGUACCGUAAGAAUAAGCACCGGCUAACUGCGUGCCAGCCGCCGCAGUAA
This 498-nucleotide ribosomal RNA is filed under the name uncultured bacterium. RNAcentral describes it as "partial 16S ribosomal RNA". It matches the Rfam family "Bacterial small subunit ribosomal RNA", at positions 29 to 523 of the family's 1533-position model. The record is from RNAcentral.